Esox lucius (northern pike) is the source of this 422-nucleotide long non-coding RNA. Lineage: Eukaryota; Metazoa; Chordata; Actinopteri; Esociformes; Esocidae. The record is from Ensembl.
CAACAAAGUCAGUCAAGAACAUGCUGGAGAGACUGUGGGUAGUUUUCCAAGCUCAGCCCCAGACACAGCUCAUCUCUCUGAAGGGUCAGAGUUAUCGAUUCCCUCGCAGAAAGCUGGGAUGAGUACCAUUACCCGAUGUUUGGAGAGAGCAGCUACACAAGUGGAAACGGUGGCAGAGACUCGCUCACACAGGGAGAGAAGACAGUGGAUCCCCAGGCAGGCUGCCCAAAGAUGCCCCCAAGGUGGUGGAGGAGACCCCUCCAAUAAGGAGAUCGGGGAACAGCCCAAGGGACAGACCAGACAGGCCAACAGACAGAUACAACAGAGAGACAGUCUGAUGCCAAAGACCAGAGGAACAUGCAGACAGGCCAAGCAGAGGGACAGCCACAAGCUAGACACUAAAGGGAAUAGAUUGAGGAGUG